CGGCCUACGGGAGGCAGCAGUAGGGAAUCUUCCACAAUGGGCGAAAGCCUGAUGGAGCAACGCCGCGUGGGUGAAGAAGGUUUUCGGAUUGUAAACUGCUUUAGACAGGGAAGAAAAAAGACAGUACCUGUAGAAUAAGCUCCGGCUAACUACGUGCCAGCAGCCGCGGUAAUACGUAGGGAGCAAGCGUUAUCCGGAUUUAUUGGGUGUAAAGGGUGCGUAGACGGGAAUGCAAGUUGGUUGUGAAAUCCCUCGGCUUAACUGAGGAACUGCAACCAAAACUACAUUUCUUGAGUGCUGGAGAG
This 305-nucleotide ribosomal RNA is filed under the name uncultured bacterium. RNAcentral describes it as "bacterial SSU rRNA". It matches the Rfam family "Bacterial small subunit ribosomal RNA", at positions 332 to 656 of the family's 1533-position model. The record is from RNAcentral.